This 599-nucleotide ribosomal RNA is filed under the name uncultured bacterium. RNAcentral describes it as "bacterial SSU rRNA". It matches the Rfam family "Bacterial small subunit ribosomal RNA", at positions 143 to 755 of the family's 1533-position model. The record is from RNAcentral.
AUAGCCACGGGAAACUGUGGGUAAUGCCGGAUGUUGUCUUCGGACUAAAGGUGUGAGCCCGCCUUGGGAGCGGACUGCGUUGUACUAGCUAGUUGGUAGGGUAAUGGCCUACCAAGGCGAUGAUGCAUAGCGGGCGUGAGAGCGUGGCCCGUCUCACUGGGACUGAGACACUGCCCAGACACCUACGGGUGGCUGCAGUCGAGAAUCUUCGGCAAUGCGCGCAAGCGUGACCGAGCGACGCCGUGUGCGGGAUGAAGGCCUUCGGGUUGUAAACCGCUGUCGUAGGGGAGGAAGGCUCCGUGAAGAACGGGGUUUGACCUAUCCUAGGAGGAAGGACGGGCUAAGUUCGUGCCAGCAGCCGCGGUAAUACGAACCGUCCAAACGUUAUUCGGAAUUACUGGGCUUAAAGGGUACGUAGGCGGCGCUGUCAGUCGGGUGUGAAAUCCCACGGCUCAACCGUGGAACUGCGCCCGAUACUGCAGUGCUUGAGGGAGACAGAGGUAAGCGGAACUGAUGGUGGAGCGGUGAAAUGCGUUGAUAUCAUCAGGAACACCAGUGGCGAAAGCGGCUUACUGGGUCUCUUCUGACGCUGAGGUACG